Molecule: ribosomal RNA, 456 nt
Filed under: uncultured Fastidiosipila sp.
Lineage: Bacteria; Bacillati; Bacillota; Clostridia; Eubacteriales; Oscillospiraceae
Description: bacterial SSU rRNA
Rfam family: Bacterial small subunit ribosomal RNA
Source: RNAcentral
CACAAGCAGUGGAGUAUGUGGUUUAAUUCGACGCAACGCGAAGAACCUUACCAGGGCUUGACAUCCUCUGACGACGUAAGAGAUUACGUUUUCCCUUCGGGGACAGAGAGACAGGUGGUGCAUGGUUGUCGUCAGCUCGUGUCGUGAGAUGUUGGGUUAAGUCCCGCAACGAGCGCAACCCCUAUUGUCAGUUGCCAGCAUGAAAGAUGGGCACUCUGGCGAGACUGCCGUUGACAAAACGGAGGAAGGUGGGACGACGUCAAAUCAUCAUGCCCCUUAUGUCCUGGGCUACACACGUACUACAAUGGCAACAACAGAGGGCAGCCAAACCGCGAGGUUGAGCGAAUCCCAAAAUGUUGUCUCAGUUCAGAUUGCAGGCUGAAGCUCGCCUGCAUGAAGUCGGAAUUGCUAGUAAUGGCAGGUCAGCAUACUGCCGUGAAUACGUUCCCGGGCCUU